Long non-coding RNA from Symphalangus syndactylus (siamang), 298 nucleotides. RefSeq lists it as uncharacterized. NCBI's taxonomy places the organism in Eukaryota, Metazoa, Chordata, Mammalia, Primates, Hylobatidae. The record is from RefSeq and is a predicted model, not a curated record.
CUGUGGGGAAGGAGAAUGGGUCUGGAGCACCUGUGAGACCCAAGCCUGGGCCCACCACAACAGAGGAUGCAGCCUCCCAACCCCAAGAGCCCCAGAUUGGAGUCCCUGAGAGAAGCUGGGGUUCUCUCCUCUCAUUUGCUGGACUGACAAAGAGGGCCUGGAGACCUCCGAGGAUAUGGUGGUGACAGGGCCACUGAGGAGGGAAAGUCUGAGUCCCUGAAGAAAACCACAGCCCUAGUGAACGCUGGAAUUACCAAAGCAAGGUCCACUGUCUGGCAGAAUCCUCAGAAAUUUUACC